ACUGGAGCCUAUUAUACAAAGUGAACUUUUCUAUGAUGACUCUGAAUAACAGGAGUUGGUGAUGUCCUUUGUCAAGAUUAUUCUGGCAGCCACCUGCAUGUUGGAUGGAGGGACUUUUUCAUCAUCCCAAACGGAAACUGUACCUAGUGGACAAAAACUCCCCAUUCCCUUUCUGCGCUGUGCUGUGCCAAAGUUGCUUCCGCCGCGUCUGACCCCAAGGACUGUGGCCCGCCAGGCUUUUCUGUAUUCUCCAGGCAAGAACACUGAAGUGGGUUGCGAUGCCCUCCUCCAGUGGGUCUUCCCAACCCAGGGAUCGAACCCAUGUCUCUUACAUCUCCUGCAUUGAAAUAUGGGUUCUUGACCACUACCACCAUCUCUAAGAAUUUACUCAAUCUAGGUAUCUCAUAUAAGUGGAAUCAGACAGUAUUUGUCCUUUCACUCCUGGCUUAUUUCACUUAGCAUACUGUGUGCAAGAUUCAUUCAUGUUGUAGCAUGUAUCAGAAUUUCAUUCCUUAUUAAGGCUGAAUACUAUUCCAUUGUUAGUAUAAAACAUAUUCUGCUUAUCCAUUCCUCUGUGACACAACUUGUGUUGUUUCCAGCUUUUGGCCAUGCUGUGAAUGUUGGUGUACAUGUAUGUGUUUCAGUCUCUGCUUUCACUUUUUUGAAGUAGAAUUGCUGUAUCAUAUAGUAAUUGUAAGUGUAAUUGUUAAAAGAACCACUAAACUGUUUGACACGAGUCUGUACUAUUUUACAUUCUCAUCAGCAAUGUAUAGGUUUCGAAUUACUUCACAUCCUCUCCAACACUUCUUAUUUCUGUUUCAUUUUGUUUUGUUUUUUAAUAAAAGCCAUCCUUUGAG
Long non-coding RNA from Cervus elaphus (red deer), 857 nucleotides. RefSeq lists it as uncharacterized. The record is from RefSeq and is a predicted model, not a curated record. The transcript is spliced from 3 exons. NCBI's taxonomy places the organism in Eukaryota, Metazoa, Chordata, Mammalia, Artiodactyla, Cervidae.